This 148-nucleotide unclassified non-coding RNA is filed under the name fungal sp. RNAcentral's name for it is "partial internal transcribed spacer region". The record is from RNAcentral. Lineage: Eukaryota; Fungi.
AGGUGAGCAAGGCUUCUUUGAAAAAAGCAAUAGGCAGAAAACUAGCUGCUCGUAUUCUUCGCAAAUGGACAGAAGACUUCGUGGAUGAGGAUACAGCGGAAGUAGUCACUAUUGAGCGUAAUGAGAUCAUUCUCGAACGCGAUGUCAU